Molecule: ribosomal RNA, 254 nt
Filed under: uncultured bacterium
Lineage: Bacteria
Description: partial 16S ribosomal RNA
Rfam family: Bacterial small subunit ribosomal RNA
Source: RNAcentral
GACGGAGGGGGCAAGCGUUGUUCGGAAUUAUUGGGCGUAAAGGGCUCGUAGGCUGGCGUGUAAGUCUGGCGUGAAAUCUCCACCGCUCACCGGGGAGAGGCCGCUGGAUACUGCACGUCUGGAGUUCGGCAGAGGACCAUGGAAUUUCGGGUGUAGCGGUGGAAUGCGUAGAUAUCAAGAGGAACACCUGAGGUGAAGACGGGUUGCUGGGCUGAUACUGACGCUGAAGCGCGAAAGCUAGGGUAGCAAACGGG